GCUGGGAUAGCCCAUUGAGUAGAGCAUGAGAUUCUUAAUCUCAGGGUCGGGUCCAAGCCCCACUUUGGGCA
Molecule: non-coding RNA, 71 nt
Organism: Podarcis lilfordi (Lilford's wall lizard)
Lineage: Eukaryota; Metazoa; Chordata; Lepidosauria; Squamata; Lacertidae
Source: the annotation of a GenBank genome assembly